GGGUCAACUCAGGUUAGCUAUCAAAUCUCAUUGUUAUUCAAAUGAUAAACUAAACUGUUCAUAACCUAAACUGUUCAUAACCUAAUAUUUUAAGAAACAUUAUUUUACGAUGUUUAUACUAUUUGGAAAUACUGUAUUCCUUAUGUAUUUUGGAAGCUUUUUAAAACAUGAAUUUAAACCGACAUUCCUGAGGUCCUACAAAGCAGCAGCCAUCUGCGACGGAGGUGAGAAUUGUGCAAGUGAUAAACAAGUUAAUUGGGGCAAAAUACAUUGCCAUCGCCAGAACGUGGGUUCCCACGAUGGUUGGUUGAGGAUCAGUGGGCGGAGUUGCCCUCCAUGGAUUGGAGGCUGAUCUUGGAUUGUGUCCCCUAAAUCAACAGAAAGUUCAAGGACAACUAGUCACCUCUGGCUCAAAAUUGACUACAACUUGGGGAAGGGAAUGGUGGAAUGCUUGCUCUUUCUGCGUUGCGAAAGUGUGAUGCCCUGACACACCUAUCAUUCAGGGCUUGUAGAUGUUUUCCCAAAGGGAUGUCUAGUUAGAUUGAAUGCUGUUUUGUUCCAAUGUUAUUUAAUGUGAAUAAAUAUUUAAUUUACUUACUGUCUGUGAAAUUAUUCUACACAUUGCCAAUCAUUCCAAAUAUGUUAAUGCAAUGUUACCAGUGUGUGAAAUUGUUAUUUUGAGAAAAGGCUCUCAAAACGUUGGUUCUUAAUGCAUAAAGUAUUUGAAAUCAAAUGUUAUUGGUCACAUACACAUGGUUAGCAGAUUUUAAUGUGAGUGUAGUGAAAUGCUUGUGCUUCUAGUUCCGAUCUAACAAGUAAUCUAACAAUUCCCCAAUGACCAAGACAUUUGAUGUGGGGGAAAAAAGCUUUAAAUACAGUAUGUUUUUCUUUUGUCUAAUAUUAGUUAACAUAAAUACAGCACCAAAUAAGUUAAUAGUGUUUUUUUAAUAGUAUUUCAUGCAAAUAAAUAGAUUUAAGUCAUUAGUUCGGUUACCAUCCAAUUGGUGACAGAUUUCCAUGUGAAUAUGCUAAAAUCAGAAUAAAAACUAUAUGCACAUUUUCCCACCAGAGAUGUUGUGCGUGAUGAGGAACUGUACGUAAACAAGUACUUUGUGGUUAAAUUCCAAUUGACCGGAUAAAAAAAACUAGUUUAAUGGGUUUCUAUUGCAUUUUCAACUCAACUGAUGGUUUUCUCACCAAUACAUGUGGGUUAUAUAGUGAGUGUUUAAUUUUUGUUGUUGUUGUUUUAACCAGGUAGGCUAGUUGAGAACAAGUUCUCAUUUACAACUGAGACCUGGCCAAGAUAAAGCAAAGCAGUGGAACACAAACAACAACACAGAGUUACUCAUGGAAUAAACAAGCGUAAAGUCAAUAACACAAUACGGUGUGUGCAUAAAUAUACGGUGUGUGCAUACGGUGUCUAUAUACGGUGUGUGCAGAUGGCAUGAGGAGGUAAGGCAAUAAAUAGGCCAUAGUAGCGAAGUAAUUACAGUUUAGCAAAUUAACACUGGAGUGAUAGAUGAGCAGAUGAUGAUGUGCAAGUAGAAAUACUGGUGUGUAAAAGAGCAGAAAAGUAAAUAAAAACAAUAUGGGGAUGAGGUAGGUAGAUUGGGUGGGCUAUUUACAGAUGGACUAUGUACAGCUGCGGCAAUCGGUUAGCUGCUCAGAUAGCUGAUGUUUAAAGUUAGUGAGGGAAAUAUAAGUCUCCAGCUUCAGCGAUUUUUGCAAUUCGCUCCAGAGUGUGCCCACUCUAGUAUUAGCACCUGUGCUCUGGCCAACAGCUUGCAGAUACAGUGCGGGUUUAGCCUACAUGAGAUUUUGUAUUUGUCAAACGGCAGUCAAGCAUCGUUCAUGUCACCAGAAUAGGACCUUCAACAUUUAUUGGAAAGGAGCAUCAAGCUCAUACUGUACGUUUUCACCACCCUGUGAAGUUAUUAUAUCUGUAGCCUAAUAAACUGCAUGGUUCUCCUGAAUCGUAGUGGGAGGACCAUACACCAUC
This is a long non-coding RNA of Oncorhynchus kisutch (coho salmon), 1999 nucleotides long. RefSeq lists it as uncharacterized. The transcript is spliced from 3 exons. NCBI's taxonomy places the organism in Eukaryota, Metazoa, Chordata, Actinopteri, Salmoniformes, Salmonidae. The record is from RefSeq and is a predicted model, not a curated record.